AUCCAGCUGACGAGUCCCAAACAGGACGGAACGCUUACCCUGUAU
This 45-nucleotide non-coding RNA is filed under the name Schistosoma margrebowiei. Lineage: Eukaryota; Metazoa; Platyhelminthes; Trematoda; Strigeidida; Schistosomatidae. The record is from RNAcentral.